AUUGAACGCUGGCGGCAUGCUUUACACAUGCAAGUCGAACGGUAACAGGGAGCUUGCUCCGCUGACGAGUGGCGAACGGGUGAGUAAUGCGUCGGAACGUGCCGAGUAGUGGGGGAUAACGCAGCGAAAGUUGUGCUAAUACCGCAUACGUACUGAGGUAGAAAGUGGGGGACCUUCGGGCCUCACGCUAUUCGAGCGGCCGACGUCUGAUUAGCUAGUAGGUGAGGUGAAGGCUCACCUAGGCGACGAUCAGUAGCGGGGCUGAGAGGAUGAUCCGCCACACUGGGACUGAGACACGGCCCAGACUCCUACGGGAGGCAGCAGUGGGGAAUUUUGGACAAUGGGCGAAAGCCUGAUCCAGCCAUGCCGCGUGUCUGAAGAAGGCCUUCGGGUUGUAAAGGACUUUUGUCGGGGAGGAAAUCCCCAGCGCUAAUACCGCUGGGGGAUGACAGUACCUGAAGAAUAAGCACCGGCUAACUACGUGCCAGCCGCCGCCGUAA
Molecule: ribosomal RNA, 500 nt
Filed under: uncultured bacterium
Lineage: Bacteria
Description: partial 16S ribosomal RNA
Rfam family: Bacterial small subunit ribosomal RNA
Source: RNAcentral